This 336-nucleotide long non-coding RNA is filed under the name Durio zibethinus. Its description in RNAcentral is "long non-coding RNA (DZIB_LNC001538)". Lineage: Eukaryota; Viridiplantae; Streptophyta; Magnoliopsida; Malvales; Malvaceae. The record is from RNAcentral.
UAGUCCCUAUUCUAUUCCUUCCCUUAAUGUAGACGGUCAGGAAUAGGGGACUACCCUUACGAGUACGAGUUUAACUAAAGAGAAUUACAGUUAAAGAGAGGGUAUUACUUCAGACUAGACCUUUAUAAAUAUGUUUCUUAACGAGGACUCUCCUUCCCCCCCGCCUAGACUCGAAAGAGACUAGAAAGAAAUCGUCGUUCUUGCUUUCGGACCCCUUCGUUCCCCCUUGGCAUAGGGGAACUCCGGCGGCGUUCGAGUGCUAUAAUGUAAUAGCCCUCUCACUCCCUCAACUCCAGAGAAUGACUGUUAUUAAGCAUAUCGUGCAUUCUAUAUCUU